UACGAAGGGUGCAAGCGUUAAUCGGAAUUACUGGGCGUAAAGCGUGCGUAGAUGGUUCAUUAAGUCGGAUGUGAAAGCCCCGGGCUCAACCUGGGAACUGCAUCUGAUACUGGUGGACUAGAGUGUGAUAGAGGAUGGCGGAAUUCCCGGUGUAGCGGUGAAAUGCGUAGAGAUCGGGAGGAACAUCCGUGGCGAAGGCGGCCAUCUGGAUCAACACUGACGUUGAGGCACGAAAGCGUGGGGAGCAAACAGG
Molecule: ribosomal RNA, 253 nt
Filed under: uncultured bacterium
Lineage: Bacteria
Description: partial 16S ribosomal RNA
Rfam family: Bacterial small subunit ribosomal RNA
Source: RNAcentral